RNAcentral lists this ribosomal RNA (139 nucleotides) under Bacteroidia bacterium. RNAcentral describes it as "partial 16S ribosomal RNA". It matches the Rfam family "Bacterial small subunit ribosomal RNA", at positions 1 to 136 of the family's 1533-position model. The record is from RNAcentral. Lineage: Bacteria; Pseudomonadati; Bacteroidota; Bacteroidia.
ACAACGGAGAGUUUGAUCCUGGCUCAGGAUGAACGCUAGCGGCAGGCCUAAUACAUGCAAGUCGAGGGGCAGCGGGAGUAGCAAUACUUGCCGGCGACCGGCGCACGGGUGCGUAACACGUAUACAAUCUACCUUUAAC